Molecule: long non-coding RNA, 349 nt
Filed under: Monodelphis domestica (gray short-tailed opossum)
Lineage: Eukaryota; Metazoa; Chordata; Mammalia; Didelphimorphia; Didelphidae
Description: lncRNA (ENSMODG00000038105.1)
Source: RNAcentral
CCGGCCCACGAGAUGGACAUCUGCUAUGGUAGAGCCUGUGAAAAGAAUUAUGUAGCCAGGAGUGGUGCUAACCUGAGCUGGGGAGUCGGGAGGGGGCCAUCAGUCACUCCUUGAUCCCCUGCUGCUCUCCUUAGGAAAAUGGUAAGCCCCAUCAGAACUGGACGGGCGUGCUUUACAUCUUCUACCGUAAGCAUCAAAGGAUGCGGCCACCUGAUAGAACAAAGGAGAUUCUCUGGUACCAUCUCAGAGCCAGAGGUCCAAAUAUUCUACAGAAGAGACUUUACAAUGUCACAGAGCUGAAUUUCAUCAGAAGGCUGCCAUUCAGAAAUGAGCUACAGGAAAACCUCAG